This 478-nucleotide ribosomal RNA is filed under the name uncultured bacterium. Its description in RNAcentral is "partial 16S ribosomal RNA". It matches the Rfam family "Bacterial small subunit ribosomal RNA", at positions 28 to 507 of the family's 1533-position model. The record is from RNAcentral.
GACGAACGCUGGCGGCGUGCUUAACACAUGCAAGUCGAACGGGAUUUAGUAAACAGAAGCCUCGGUGGAAGAUUACUAAUGAGAGUGGCGAACGGGUGAGUAACGCGUGAGCAACCUGCCUAUGACAGUGGGAUAGCCUCGGGAAACCGGGAUUAAUACCGCAUAAAAUCGUAGAAACACAUGUUUUAACGGUCAAAGAUUUAUCGGUCAUAGAUGGGCUCGCGUCUGAUUAGCUAGUUGGUGAGAUAACAGCCCACCAAGGCGACGAUCAGUAGCCGGUCUGAGAGGAUGAACGGCCACAUUGGAACUGAGACACGGUCCAAACUCCUACGGGAGGCAGCAGUGGGGAAUAUUGCACAACGGGGGAAACCCUGAUGCAGCGACGCCGCGUGAACGAAGAAGGUAUUCGUAUCGUAAAGUUCUGUCCUAUGGGAAGAUAAUGACAGUACCAUAGAAGAAAGCUCCGGCUAAAUACGUG